CCCUUAGAUGUUCUGGGCCGCACGCGCGCUACACUGACGGAUUCAACGAGCUUACAACCUUGGCCGAAAGGUCUGGGUAAUCUCCAAAAUCCGUCGUGAUGGGGAUAGAUUAUUGUAAUUAUUAAUCUUCAACGAGGAAUGCCUAGUAAGCGCAAGUCAUCAGCUUGCGUUGAUUACGUCCCUGCCCUUUGUACACACCGCCCGUCGCUCCUACCGAUUGAAUGGUCCGGUGAAGCGUUUGGACUAUGGUUUUCUGAUGGUCCGCCGUUGGAUUACCGUGGGAAGUUCGUUAAACCUUAUCAUUUAGAGGAAGGAGAAGUCGUAACA
Molecule: ribosomal RNA, 327 nt
Filed under: uncultured eukaryote
Lineage: Eukaryota
Description: partial 18S ribosomal RNA
Rfam family: Eukaryotic small subunit ribosomal RNA
Source: RNAcentral